RNAcentral lists this ribosomal RNA (1209 nucleotides) under uncultured bacterium. RNAcentral's name for it is "bacterial SSU rRNA". It matches the Rfam family "Bacterial small subunit ribosomal RNA", at positions 99 to 1312 of the family's 1533-position model. The record is from RNAcentral.
CGCACGGGUGCGUAACACGUAUACAAUCUACCUAUAACAGGGGGAUAGCCUUUCGAAAGAGAGAUAAUACCCCGUAAUAAAUUGAGUGGCAUCACUUGAUUUUGAAAGUUCCGACGGUUAUAGAUGAGUAUGCGUCUGAUUAGCUAGUUGGUGGUGUAAUGGACCACCAAGGCGACGAUCAGUAGGGGAUCUGAGAGGACUACCCCCCACACUGGUACUGAGACACGGACCAGACUCCUACGGGAGGCAGCAGUAAGAAAUAUUGGACAAUGGUCGCAAGACUGAUCCAGCCAUGCCGCGUGCAGGAAGACGGCCCUAUGGGUUGUAAACUGCUUUUGUACCAGAGAAAACCUAUCUACGUGUAGAUAGCUGAUAGUAUGGUAAGAAUAAGCAUCGGCUAACUUCGUGCCAGCAGCCGCGGUAAGACGAAGGAUGCAAGCGUUAUCCGGAUUCAUUGGGUUUAAAGGGUGCGUAGGCGGGCUUGUAAGUCAGUGGUGAAAUCUCUCAGCUUAACUGAGAAACUGCCAUUGAUACUGCAGGCCUAGAGUAUAGAUGACGUUGGCGGAAUAUGACAUGUAGUGGUGAAAUACUUAGAUAUGUCAUAGAACACCGAUUGCGAAGGCAGCUAACGAAACUAUAACUGACGCUGAGGCACGAAAGUGCGGGGAUCAAACAGGAUUAGAUACCCUGGUAGUCCGCACCGUAAACGAUGAUUACUCGUUGUUGGCGAUAUGACAGUCAGCGACCAAGCGAAAGCGAUAAGUAAUCCACCUGGGGAGUACGCCGGCAACGGUGAAACUCAAAGGAAUUGACGGGGGCCCGCACAAGCGGAGGAGCAUGUGGUUUAAUUCGAUGAUACGCGAGGAACCUUACCUGGGCUUGAAAGUUAGUGACCGGUUCUGAAAGGAGCCUUUCCGCAAGGACACGAAACUAGGUGCUGCAUGGCUGUCGUCAGCUCGUGCCGUGAGGUGUUGGGUUAAGUCCCGCAACGAGCGCAACCCCUAUCGUUAGUUACCAGCGAGUCAAGUCGGGAACUCUAACGAAACUGCCCGUGCAAACGGUGAGGAAGGUGGGGAUGACGUCAAGUCAUCACGGCCCUUACGUCCAGGGCUACACACGUGCUACAAUGGUCGGUACAACGGGCAGCUACACCGCGAGGUGAUGCUAAUCUCUAAAAACCGAUCUCAGUUCGGAUUGAAGUCUGCAACU